RNAcentral lists this long non-coding RNA (395 nucleotides) under Gallus gallus (chicken). Its description in RNAcentral is "long non-coding RNA NONGGAT006669". The record is from RNAcentral. Lineage: Eukaryota; Metazoa; Chordata; Aves; Galliformes; Phasianidae.
UAGAAAAAAGACCAUGAGAGCUCCAAGGAAUUAAUGUGAAGGGCAGAACUUCAAGGAUUUUUCAAAGCAGGAUUAAUUUCAGCAUGCAACAAAGGACUCAUAAGUAAAGGAGGUUACAUGACUCAGAAAAUGUCACAUUGCUGCUUAGUAGCAAAGACAGAAGUAAAAUCCAGCUCUUCAAAACUUCAAGCUCCUUGUCAAAAUAAUCAUUUAUCCCCCACUAAGAGGAAAAGAAUAAGAAUAGAAAAAAAGGAAGAAUAAAAUAAACAAACAAAAAAAUCAAGCAUUAAAAAUCUAGGCAGUAACAAAAGCCUUGACUGAAGACACGACUUCAUUCAGCACUUUUGAUUUACAACACAAAAUUUGUCCCAUAUCUGUAAAUAAAGACAUGUAUU